RNAcentral lists this ribosomal RNA (460 nucleotides) under uncultured bacterium. RNAcentral's name for it is "partial 16S ribosomal RNA". It matches the Rfam family "Bacterial small subunit ribosomal RNA", at positions 338 to 795 of the family's 1533-position model. The record is from RNAcentral.
CCUACGGGUGGCAGCAGUGAGGAAUAUUGGUCAAUGGACGCAAGUCUGAACCAGCCAUGCCGCGUGAAGGAAGAAGGCUCUGUGAGUUGUAAACUGCUUUUGUACGAGAGUAAACGCAGAUACGCGUCUCUGUCUGAACGUAUCGUACGAAUAAGGAUCGGCUAACUCCGUGCCAGCAGCCGCGGUAAUACGGAGGAUUCAAGCGUUAUCCGGAUUUAUUGGGUUUAAAGGGUGCGUAGGCGGUCGGGUAAGUUAGAUGUGAAAUCCCGAGGCUCAACCUCGGAAUUGCCGUUGAUACUGGUAGGCUAGAGAGGAGUAGAGGUAGGCGGAAUGCAUGGUGUAGCGGUGAAAUGCUUAGAGAUCAGACAGAACACCGAUUGCGAAGGCAGCUUGCCGGGCUAAGUCUGACGCUGAGGCACGAAAGCGUGGGGAGCAAACAGGAUUAGAUACCCCAGUAGUC